Molecule: ribosomal RNA, 1310 nt
Filed under: Paenibacillus taichungensis
Lineage: Bacteria; Bacillati; Bacillota; Bacilli; Caryophanales; Paenibacillaceae
Description: bacterial LSU rRNA
Rfam family: Bacterial large subunit ribosomal RNA
Source: RNAcentral
AUGGGGAGCGAAAAUUAUAGUAGCGAAGGUCAUGAUCUCACACUGCCAAGAAAAGCCUCUAGCCAGGUGAUGGUGCCCGUACCGCAAACCGACACAGGUAGGCGAGAAGAGAAUUCUAAGGCGCGCGGAAGAACUCUCGUUAAGGAACUCGGCAAAAUGACCCCGUAACUUCGGGAGAAGGGGUGCCCCGGUAGUGUGAAUAGCACGAGGGGGCCGCAGUGAAAAGGCCCAAGCGACUGUUUAGCAAAAACACAGGUCUGUGCGAAGCCGUAAGGCGAAGUAUACGGGCUGACGCCUGCCCGGUGCUGGAAGGUUAAGGGGAGCGGUUAGGAGCAAUCCGAAGCUGUGAACCGAAGCCCCAGUAAACGGCGGCCGUAACUAUAACGGUCCUAAGGUAGCGAAAUUCCUUGUCAGGUAAAUUCUGACCCGCACGAAUGGCGUAACGACUUGGGCGCUGUCUCAACGAGAGAUCCGGUGAAAUUUUAAUACCUGUGAAGAUGCAGGUUACCCGCGACAAGACGGAAAGACCCCAUGGAGCUUUACUGCAGCUUGAUAUUGAAUUUGGGUACGAUCUGUACAGGAUAGGUGGGAGCCUUUGAAGCAUGAGCGCCAGCUUGUGUGGAGGCACCGUUGGGAUACCACCCUGAUCGUAUCUAGGUUCUAACCUGGUACCGUAAUCCGGUGCGGGGACAGUGUCAGGUGGGCAGUUUGACUGGGGCGGUCGCCUCCUAAAGAGUAACGGAGGCGCCCAAAGGUUCCCUCAGAAUGGUUGGAAAUCAUUCGAAGAGUGCAAAGGCAUAAGGGAGCUUGACUGCGAGACCUACAAGUCGAGCAGGGACGAAAGUCGGGCUUAGUGAUCCGGUGGUACCGCAUGGAAGGGCCAUCGCUCAACGGAUAAAAGCUACCCUGGGGAUAACAGGCUUAUCUCCCCCAAGAGUCCACAUCGACGGGGAGGUUUGGCACCUCGAUGUCGGCUCAUCGCAUCCUGGGGCUGAAGUAGGUCCCAAGGGUUGGGCUGUUCGCCCAUUAAAGCGGUACGCGAGCUGGGUUCAGAACGUCGUGAGACAGUUCGGUCCCUAUCUGUCGUGGGCGUAGGAAAUUUGAGAGGAGCUGUCCUUAGUACGAGAGGACCGGGAUGGACGUACCGCUGGUGUACCAGUUGUUCCGCCAGGAGCACCGCUGGGUAGCUAUGUACGGAAGGGAUAAGCGCUGAAAGCAUCUAAGCGUGAAGCCCCCCUCAAGAUGAGAUUUCCCAGUAUGUAAGACCCCUUGAAGACGACGAGGUAGAUAGGCUGGGGGUGGAAGUGCAG